Molecule: small nucleolar RNA, 106 nt
Organism: Medicago truncatula (barrel medic)
Lineage: Eukaryota; Viridiplantae; Streptophyta; Magnoliopsida; Fabales; Fabaceae
Rfam family: Plant small nucleolar RNA R71
About the family: R71 is a member of the C/D box family of snoRNAs containing the C (UGAUGA) and D (CUGA) box motifs.
Source: Rfam
AAACCAUGAUGGGGGCAAGCCUAAGCAUUUCUUUGAAACGCUCCCACACAUCGUAAUGAUAAUCCCCAUCCCUUUGAGUGAAUCGUGUGAUUUGAUUCCUCAAUUG